This 395-nucleotide ribosomal RNA is filed under the name uncultured bacterium. RNAcentral describes it as "bacterial SSU rRNA". It matches the Rfam family "Bacterial small subunit ribosomal RNA", at positions 28 to 425 of the family's 1533-position model. The record is from RNAcentral.
GACGAACGCUGGCGGCGUGCUUAACACACGCAAGUCGAGCGGUAAGGCCCUUUUGGGGGUACACGAGCGGCGAACGGGUGAGUAACACGUGGGUGACCUGCCCUCAGCUCUGGGAUAAGCCUGGGAAACUGGGUCUAAUACUGGAUAUGACCUUUCCUCGCAUGGGGGUUGGGUGGAAAGUUUUUCGGCUGGGGAUGGGCCCGCGGCCUAUCAGCUUGUUGGGUGGGGUGAUGGCCUACCAAGGCGACGACGGGUAGCCGGCCUGAGAGGGCGACCGGCCACACUGGGACUGAGACACGGCCCAGACUCCUACGGGAGGGCAGCAGUGGGGAAUAUUGCGCAAUGGGCGGAAGCCUGACGCAGCGACGCCGCGUGGGGGAUGACGGCCUCGGUUG